CCCUUAGAUGUUCUGGGCCGCACGCGUGCUACACUGAGUGGAUCAGCGGGUCAGGUUACGCGAGAGCGUUUCCUAAUCUUCAAAUCCGCUCGUGAUGGGGAUUGACGGUUGCAAUUUUCCGUCAUGAACGAGGAAUACCUUGUAAGCGCGGGUCAUCAUCCCGCGCUGAAUACGUCCCUGCCCUUUGUACACACCGCCCGUCGCUCCUACCGAUUGAGUGGUCCGGUGAGGCUUUGGGAUCCAAGCGAAAAGAGCGUUUCGCUCCUUUUGCUGGGAGAACUCAGUCGAACCUUAUCAUUUAGAGGAAGGAGAAGUCGUAACA
RNAcentral lists this ribosomal RNA (322 nucleotides) under uncultured eukaryote. RNAcentral describes it as "partial 18S ribosomal RNA". It matches the Rfam family "Eukaryotic small subunit ribosomal RNA", at positions 1470 to 1796 of the family's 1831-position model. The record is from RNAcentral.